UGUUGGUUGAAAACAGCUUGGAUGAGCUGAGGGUAGGGGUGAAAGGCUAAUCAAACCUCGUGAUUGCCCGUUCUCCUCGAAAUGCUUUUAGGAGCAGCCUCGGGAGGUCGGCGUUGGUGGUAGAGAACUGGAUGGACUAGGGGGCUUACCAGCUUACUGAAUCCAACCAAACUGCGAAUGCCAACGACACGUAUCCCGGGAGUGAGACGGUGGGGGCUAAGCUUCAUCGUCGAAAGGGAAACAGCCCAGACUAUCGGCUAAGGUCCCUAACUUUGUGCUAAGUGGGAAAGGAUCUGAAGACGCUCAGACAACCAGGAGGUUGGCUUAGAAGCAGCCAUCCUUUAAAGAAAGCGUAAUAGCUCACUGGUCAAGCGGCUUUGGGCCGACAAUCCAACGGGGCUUAAGCACAAGACCGAAGCCAUAGAAUAGACGCGGACCUGCGGGUCUGCAUAUUGGUAGAGGAGCGUUCUCACAGCCGUGAAGCCAGACUGAAAAGACUGGUGGAGUGGUGAGAAGUGACCCUGCCGGCAUAAGUAGCGAUAAGAAAGGUGAGAAUCCUUUCCACCGUAAGCCUAAGGUUUCCUGAGGAAGGUUCGUCCGCUCAGGGUUAGUCGGGUCCUAACGCGAGGCCGAAAGGCGUAGCGGAUGGAUAUCUGGUUAAUAUUCCAGAACUACCUAAAAAACGUUAUCACGAUGGGGAGACGCAGGAGGCUAUGCGAGCCUACGAUUGGACGUGUAGGUUCAGGCCUGUAGGGGGAUCCGCCAGGAAAAUCCGGUGGGUCACAUGCCCUGAGGGGUCAUGGCGAGGGCCGCAAGGCCCGUAAAGUCGCAGACGCCACGCUGCCGAGAAAAUCCUCUAAGGAGUCUUUUGGGUACCCGUACCGCAAACCGACACAGGUAGGCGAGGAGAAAAUCCUCAGGCGCGAGUGAGAACCCUCGUUUAGGAACUCGGCAAACUCACCCCGUAACUUCGGAAGAAGGGGUGCUCUGUUAGCGUUAGCGGCCUCGCGCCGCGAAGCGUGAGAGAGUUGCAAUAAAGAGGCCCAGGCAACUGUUUACUAAAAACACAGGGCUAUGCGAAGUCGAAUACGACGUAUAUGGCCUGACGCCUGCCCGGUGCCGGAAGGUUAAAGGGAGAGGUUAGCCGCAAGGCGACGCUUCGAGCUGAAGCCCCGGUAAACGGCGGCCGUAACUAUAACGGUCCUAAGGUAGCGAAAUUCCUUGUCGGGUAAGUUCCGACCUGCACGAAUGGCGUAACGAUCUGGGCGCUGUCUCAACGAGGGGCACUGCGAAUUUGUGGUACCGGUGAAGACGCCGGUUGCCCGUGACUAGACGAAAAGACCCCGUGCACCUUUACUACAUCUUAGUAGUGAAUGCUGGCGUGUUAUGCGCAGGAUAGGUGGGAGGCUUUGAACCCAGGCUUUCGGGCUUGGGGGAGCCAACGGUGAGAUACCACCCUUAACACUCCGGCGUUCUAACCUCGAUCUGUCAUCCAGGUCAGGGACACUGCUAGGUGGGUAGUUUGACUGGGGCGGUCGCCUCCUAAACUGUAACGGAGGCGCGCGAAGGUUCGCUCAGGCUGUUUGGAAAUCAGCCGUAGAGUGCAAAAGCAGAAGCGAGCUUGACUGCGACACCUACAAGUGGAGCAGGUGGGAAACCAGGCUUUAGUGAUCCGGUGGUUCCGCAUGGAAGGGCCAUCGCUCAACGGAUAAAAGGUACGCCGGGGAUAACAGGCUGAUCUUGCCCAAGAGUUCACAUCGACGGCAAGGUUUGGCACCUCGAUGUCGGCUCAUCGCAUCCUGGGGCUGAAGCAGGUCCCAAGGGUCCGGCUGUUCGCCGGUUAAAGCGGUACGUGAGCUGGGUUUAGAACGUCGCGAGACAGUUCGGUCUCUAUCUGUCAUG
RNAcentral lists this ribosomal RNA (1902 nucleotides) under soil metagenome. Its description in RNAcentral is "bacterial LSU rRNA". It matches the Rfam family "Bacterial large subunit ribosomal RNA", at positions 783 to 2649 of the family's 2925-position model. The record is from RNAcentral.